Molecule: ribosomal RNA, 253 nt
Filed under: uncultured bacterium
Lineage: Bacteria
Description: partial 16S ribosomal RNA
Rfam family: Bacterial small subunit ribosomal RNA
Source: RNAcentral
UACGGGGGGAGCAAGCGUUGUUCGGAUUUACUGGGCGUAAAGGGCUCGUAGGUGGCCAACUAAGUCAGACGUGAAAUCCCUCAGCUUAACUGGGGAACUGCGUCUGAUACUGGAUGGCUUGAGUUUGGGAGAGGGAUGCGGAAUUCCAGGUGUAGCGGUGAAAUGCGUAGAUAUCUGGAGGAACACCGGUGGCGAAGGCGGCAUCCUGGACCAACACUGACACUGAUGAGCGAAAGCCAGGGGAGCAAACGGG